UGGUUUCUAUCGUCGGUAGAGCAGAGGACUGAAAAUCCUCGUGUCGGCAGUUCGAUUCUGUCCCAGGCCA
RNAcentral lists this transfer RNA (70 nucleotides) under Fidelibacterota bacterium. RNAcentral's name for it is "tRNA-Phe". It matches the Rfam family "tRNA". From Rfam's summary of the family: Transfer RNA (tRNA) molecules are approximately 80 nucleotides in length. Their secondary structure includes four short double-helical elements and three loops (D, anti-codon, and T loops). Lineage: Bacteria; Pseudomonadati; Fidelibacterota. The record is from RNAcentral.